UACGUAGGGGGCAAGCGUUGUCCGGAAUCAUUGGGCGUAAAGAGCGUGUAGGCGGCCCGAUAAGUCCGCCGUGAAAGUCCAGGGCUCAACCCUGGAAUGCCGGUGGAAACUGUCGGGCUGGAGUCCGGAAGAGGCGAGUGGAAUUCCUGGUGUAGCGGUGGAAUGCGCAGAUAUCAGGAGGAACACCUGUGGUGUAGACAGCUUACUGGACCACUUCUGACGCUGAGACACGAAAGCGUGGGUAGCAAACAGG
RNAcentral lists this ribosomal RNA (253 nucleotides) under uncultured bacterium. Its description in RNAcentral is "partial 16S ribosomal RNA". It matches the Rfam family "Bacterial small subunit ribosomal RNA", at positions 524 to 776 of the family's 1533-position model. The record is from RNAcentral.